This 76-nucleotide transfer RNA is filed under the name Rhodanobacter sp. RNAcentral describes it as "tRNA-Lys". It matches the Rfam family "tRNA". Rfam says of the family: Transfer RNA (tRNA) molecules are approximately 80 nucleotides in length. Their secondary structure includes four short double-helical elements and three loops (D, anti-codon, and T loops). Lineage: Bacteria; Pseudomonadati; Pseudomonadota; Gammaproteobacteria; Lysobacterales; Rhodanobacteraceae. RNAcentral also lists the same sequence under 1 other name. The record is from RNAcentral.
GGGCCGUUAGCUCAGUUGGUAGAGCAGUUGACUCUUAAUCAAUUGGUCGAAGGUUCGAACCCUUCACGGCCCACCA